AGCAAAUCAAAAUCAUGCUCUUUGUAUGUGGCUAUUGAGCUGAAAUUGCAAGUGUGAUAAGUGUCUUGUGUUUGAGCUUUGGUAAUGAAAAUGAAAUAUGGAUGUGUCAUGAUUUAUUGAUAUAUGUGCUUGGUUAUUCGAAUGAUAUCCGGGCGAAGUCCCGAAAGCUUUUGUGCUAAGUGACUAUAUCCAGACUAAGAUCCGAAGGCAUUUGUGCGAGUUACUAAUUCCGG
This 233-nucleotide long non-coding RNA is filed under the name Gossypium barbadense (sea-island cotton). RNAcentral's name for it is "long non-coding RNA (GBAR_LNC005572)". The record is from RNAcentral. Lineage: Eukaryota; Viridiplantae; Streptophyta; Magnoliopsida; Malvales; Malvaceae.